CGGGCUCCCGGGUCUCGGUGCGGCGGCCGUGGUCGGCGGCCAUGGGUCGUAACGAUGCGACCCGGGCGAUUCUUCCGGCCGGGGCCCGG
This 89-nucleotide transfer RNA is filed under the name Cellulomonas fimi. RNAcentral describes it as "tRNA-Asp(gtc)". Lineage: Bacteria; Bacillati; Actinomycetota; Actinomycetes; Micrococcales; Cellulomonadaceae. The record is from RNAcentral.